UAAAUGAGGUGUUACUAAAUCAUC
This 24-nucleotide non-coding RNA is filed under the name Arabidopsis thaliana (thale cress). Lineage: Eukaryota; Viridiplantae; Streptophyta; Magnoliopsida; Brassicales; Brassicaceae. The record is from RNAcentral.